RNAcentral lists this ribosomal RNA (253 nucleotides) under uncultured bacterium. Its description in RNAcentral is "partial 16S ribosomal RNA". It matches the Rfam family "Bacterial small subunit ribosomal RNA", at positions 524 to 776 of the family's 1533-position model. The record is from RNAcentral.
UACGUAGGGUGCAAGCGUUAAUCGGAAUUACUGGGCGUAAAGCGUGCACAGGCGGUUGUGCAAGACAGAUGUGAAAUCCCCGGGCUCAACCUGGGAAUGGCAUUUGUGACUGCACGGCUAGAGUGUGUCAGAGGGGGGUAGAAUUCCACGUGUAGCAGUGAAAUGCGUAGAGAUGUGGAGGAAUACCGAUGGCGAAGGCAGCCCCCUGGGAUAACACUGACGCUCAUGCACGAAAGCGUGGGGAGCAAACAGG